GGUGACGAGGAAGACAUCAAGGAAGGUAACUCUGCAACGGGCUGGGCCAUAAAGGCCACGUGUAUUUUCCUGGCCGCUUGUCUACUGUGUGGGGCAGUCUUCUUCAUCGCAAAGAAAUAUGGAUUUGGGAAAAAUCAACGACAAGCGGAGAAGAAACCCCCAGAGCCCCCAAACCGCAAUAUUCCACCCGGUCCCGGAGGUCAAGGUCAGCGGAAGUCGGAUUCCGAUGUUGAGUCCAACAAAGGGGGUGCGUCACGGAAAGCCAGCAACAAGGGAGUGGCUCCAGACGUACUGCCAGUAACCACAAAACCUCUCUCGAAAUGCGCUUCACUCCCAACGGCUGUAUCCAUAGAAAAUGAAAAC
Haliotis rufescens (red abalone) is the source of this 363-nucleotide long non-coding RNA. RefSeq lists it as uncharacterized. NCBI's taxonomy places the organism in Eukaryota, Metazoa, Mollusca, Gastropoda, Lepetellida, Haliotidae. The transcript is spliced from 3 exons. The record is from RefSeq and is a predicted model, not a curated record.